CCGCAAGAAAUGAUUUAUCAUAUAUGAUUUCGGCUCAUACUUAGAUGCAUAGUAUCCUUGUGAU
This 64-nucleotide transfer RNA is filed under the name Rhombosepion elegans. RNAcentral describes it as "tRNA-Arg". The record is from RNAcentral. Lineage: Eukaryota; Metazoa; Mollusca; Cephalopoda; Sepiida; Sepiidae.